UACGGAGGGUGCAAGCGUUAUCCGGAUUCACUGGGUUUAAAGGGUGCGUAGGUGGGGCGGUAAGUCAGUGGUGAAAUCUCCGAGCUUAACUUGGAAACUGCCAUUGAUACUAUCAGUCUUGAAUAUUGUGGAGGUUAGCGGAAUAUGUCAUGUAGCGGUGAAAUGCUUAGAUAUGACAUAGAACACCAAUUGCGAAGGCAGCUGGCUACGCAUAUAUUGACACUGAGGCACGAAAGCGUGGGGAUCAAACAGG
This 253-nucleotide ribosomal RNA is filed under the name uncultured bacterium. Its description in RNAcentral is "partial 16S ribosomal RNA". It matches the Rfam family "Bacterial small subunit ribosomal RNA", at positions 524 to 776 of the family's 1533-position model. The record is from RNAcentral.